UGGAAAUAUGAUGUCGGGUCAUCAUGUGCUUGUGACUGCUUUUUUUGACUGCACACUGAUGAAACCUAAAUGCUACUACUAUAACUGUCUUCUCUCAUAAGCUAAGAAAAAAAAGGUGGUUACAUUUCCUUUUUCUUAUGCAACGUCCAGGUCAGGAUAUAUCAUCUUGGAGUCAUGAUAUGUGCGGUUGUUUUUCAGGC
This 200-nucleotide long non-coding RNA is filed under the name Hordeum vulgare. RNAcentral describes it as "long non-coding RNA (HVUL_LNC016905)". The record is from RNAcentral. Lineage: Eukaryota; Viridiplantae; Streptophyta; Magnoliopsida; Poales; Poaceae.